This is a long non-coding RNA of Oreochromis niloticus (Nile tilapia), 819 nucleotides long. RefSeq lists it as uncharacterized. The record is from RefSeq and is a predicted model, not a curated record. NCBI's taxonomy places the organism in Eukaryota, Metazoa, Chordata, Actinopteri, Cichliformes, Cichlidae. The transcript is spliced from 4 exons.
CUGCGGGCUCUUUUGUCGCAGAGAGUCUCCACUUGGAAAAUUACAAUUUGUUCAAACGCAACAGACACCUGUCCUACACAAACUUUCCCCAGAUGGCAAACAGAAGUGGUGGUGGAGUUGCUGUUUAUGUGAAAAGUGACAUUAAAGUGCAUGAAAAACAGUACAUCCAUAAUGUAACUGACCUUGAAUUUCUGGCUUUAAAGGUUGAAGCACCAGUCAGUGCACUGAUUGCAGUUGUAUACAGACCUCCAGACUACACUCUGAGGCCAUUCCUGAAAAACCUGCCAGAGCGAUGUCUCCAUUCUGGAGUCAUGAAGACCUACCAUAGUUACCAUGACCCUGUAUACUGUGCAUUGUCCUGUGAUGAUUCAUGAUCUAGAUCUUUGACUACAGUGUUUCCCUCUGUGAUCCAUCCCCUUCAGAGCUGAGACACUCAAGACUGAACAGACUGCACAGUUUCUGUGACUGAGCCUCCAAAACACCUUCUUUGAAACCACACAUGAUAGAAGGGCUUUAUAUUUGCAGCAGCACUACUAAAGGUAUUCAGUUUAUUACAGGAUGUGUUUGUUUCUUAGGACCAGCUCUAAGUGCACACUACCUAACAUAUACACCUUUCUGUUCAUUACAAACCAACUACUCUGGAUCAUAUGGCCAGUCGGCAGGAAUGUUUCUGCAGGAAAACAUCACUGGAGAUCACCAUCAUUGUCAGACUGACUGUGCCUCCUCUGUGCAGUGUCAAGAUCCUCCUUAAAUGAGUGUUCCUCAGCUAUCCUGCUUCUGUGCUGCUUGCCACACAUCAAACACUGGCCGGAUGACAGG